RNAcentral lists this ribosomal RNA (190 nucleotides) under uncultured bacterium. RNAcentral describes it as "partial 16S ribosomal RNA". It matches the Rfam family "Bacterial small subunit ribosomal RNA", at positions 1312 to 1500 of the family's 1533-position model. The record is from RNAcentral.
UACGCCUCAUGAAGCUGGAGUUGCUAGUAAUCGCGAAUCAGCAUGUCGCGGUGAAUACGUUCCCGGGCCUUGUACACACCGCCCGUCACACCAUGAGAGUUUGUAACGCCCAAAGUCGGUGGCCUAACCUUUAUGGAGGGAGCCGCCUAAGGCGGGACAGAUGACUGGGGUGAAGUCGUAACAAGGUAAC